This 76-nucleotide small nucleolar RNA is filed under the name Ictidomys tridecemlineatus (thirteen-lined ground squirrel). The record is from RNAcentral. Lineage: Eukaryota; Metazoa; Chordata; Mammalia; Rodentia; Sciuridae.
AUGCACAUUUCAUUGUCAUUUUUCUUUUGCCCCAAGAAAAAGAUAUUGAUGAUGUUCUGAACAAACUUUAACAAAU